Long non-coding RNA from Gasterosteus aculeatus aculeatus (three-spined stickleback), 1236 nucleotides. The record is from Ensembl. Lineage: Eukaryota; Metazoa; Chordata; Actinopteri; Perciformes; Gasterosteidae.
GUCAGGACUUCGACUCAGGUGCAGAGCAAUAAGGCAACAAAAACUUCUUUCCAGGUUUGGAGUCUUUUACUCCAAAAAAAGUAAUGCAAGACAAAAAGGGUGCACAGGCAAAGGCGGAAUCCACACGCUCUUGUAGAAACAAAAAAAGGAAGAGGGCCUGGCAAAGAAGUAAAAACACGAUAACCAAAAACAGCACUGGGAAUUUCUUACUACAAACAUGCACCUAUGGGAAAGACAAAAGAUAACCUGACACAGACAAUUAGGGGGGAACUGAGGCUUAAAUACAGGUGGAGGUGAUUGCAAACUAAACUCAGCUGUGGGGAGAAACGAAGGGUGAGAAACUAGAUACAGGAAGUGCAGUGGUUACAAAAAUAAAACAGGAAGUUAAUCUUCACUGUCUCUUUGAGUCGUCACACCUAUGAAGAGAAGGCAAACCCUUUGCCAGGUUAGUGUUUGACUAUCAUUAUGAUCAUACACUGUGACAUGUUAUAGAUAAAAUGUGAUAUUUAGCCUUGUACCUGGUCUUUUGCCACUUCAUGAGUAGAAACCUGAGGUUUGUGGUAGUCCUCCCAACAAUGAGCUUCUGGUUGGAUUUCUGGUUGGAAUGGAUGUGUCUAGCUGUAUGUUAAACCAUUCAUGUUAACCUGAUAUGCUGUAUCUGUACAGGGAAAACGUUGCACAUUGGGUUCAUGCACUUAGGAAGCUCCCACUGGAAGAGCCAAUGAUCAAACACUCAAAAUUUGUAGAUGUGCGGCAGAGGGCUGAAAGCGGCAUUGAAGAUGUCCUUUACUUUGUUGAAAGGUUCCCCCAUCUCCUCCCAUACCAUGGGCCAGAGGAGCAUGACCACCUGGGUGAGGAGUUUUUAAAUGAUCAGAAAAUGCCAACAACCUCCCUUCAGGAAGAAACGGAUAUGGAAAGCUUCUGGGCUGGAAUGGCAACCCGGAAACAUAAAGUGACAGGAGCCAAAGAAUUUCAGAGGCUUGCUGCCGUCGCCAAGCUGGUCCUGGUGUUGCCCCAUUCAGAUGCUGAUGCUGAGAGGGUGUUUUCAGUUGUGGGACUGAAUAAAACAAAAACCAGAAAUAGCCUGGCACUGGAUGGCACCCUGUCCUCCAUCAUGGCCAUAAAGAUGGCCGACCAGGAGCCCUGCUUCAGAUGGGAGCCCCCCUCAGCGGUCAUCAAGGCCUCCAAGAAGGCCACAGGCCAGUACAACCUUGCCCACAAAUCUUAAAAAAUUAC